Molecule: long non-coding RNA, 560 nt
Filed under: Homo sapiens (human)
Lineage: Eukaryota; Metazoa; Chordata; Mammalia; Primates; Hominidae
Description: novel transcript, antisense to LRRC37A3
Source: RNAcentral
ACUCCUGGAGCGGGGGGAGACUAACCCCUCUCCUGUGUCCACAACUGUAGUAACACAAUCCUCGGUUCUGCUCUCCAAACUUCAAAUAAGGGGUCAGAGCCAAGGGUCAAGACUUUAGGAAAAGCCCCGGAAAUACCCUGCACUCAAAAAGCAGUUUCAGAGUUUCACAUUUUCCUGAGAAUUAAACAAAUUAUCCUCCAAAUUCUGCUGCUUGUUUUGAAUUAUGGUUAUACUGGCAAUGUUAUCCAACCCUUGAGUUGUUUUUCUUUUCUUUUUUUUUUUUUCCUCGAGAGAGUGUCUUGCUCUGUCACCCAGGCUGGAAUGCAGUGGCAUGAUCUCGGCUCACUGCAACCUCCGCCUCCUGGGUUCAAGUGGUUUUCAUGCCUCAGUUUCCCAAGUAGCUGGGAUUACAGGUGUGAGCCACUGUGCCCGGCCCUGUUACCUUUGAGUUUUUAUCUCCACAUACUUAUAUUAAACCGUGUAGUUCUUCUUCCCAUCUGACAUCUACAAUCUCUUCACUGGGUCUGUACUCCAUAGCUAUUUUACCACUUUCUGAAAUA